UACGUAGGGGGCAAGCGUUGUCCGGAAUUAUUGGGCGUAAAGCGCACGUAGGCGGCUCUACAAGUCGGAUGUGAAAUCCCACGGCUCAACCAUGGAAGUGCAUCCGAAACUGCAGAGCUUGAGUACUUAAGAGGAUCGCGGAAUUCCCGGUGUAGAGGUGAAAUUCGUAGAUAUCGGGAGGAACACCAGUGGCGAAGGCGGCGAUCUGGGAAGAUACUGACGCUGAGGUGCGAAAGCGUGGGGAGCAAACAGG
RNAcentral lists this ribosomal RNA (253 nucleotides) under uncultured bacterium. RNAcentral describes it as "partial 16S ribosomal RNA". It matches the Rfam family "Bacterial small subunit ribosomal RNA", at positions 524 to 776 of the family's 1533-position model. The record is from RNAcentral.